UCUACAUUUAAAAGGCUGCAUCUGGCCACUAAAAGACCAGACCUUCAGUCAACAGGACCAGACGUUAAUCCCGUAAAGCUUGGCAGAGGGACACCCAAACACAUGGCAAAGGAUGUUACCUCAGGAAUGGGGCUCAGGGUUGGCGCUAACUGGAGGAGCUGCCCAGGUGGGCAGGACCGCCUACUCCUCCCUUGCCUGGUACCACAGCCCAUGAUGUCUGGUCACUUGAGCGAAAAGAGGUGUUUGCGAACCAUGACUGACAAAACCACCUCGGGGAUUAAAACUUUACCGCGUUGGUUGCGCGCCCUUCGGCAGCGUGGCUCCAUGGCUCCGCGGCCUUCCCGCCCUGCGCGCCCCCUCCUCAGCCCCAACGGCGGCCGCGGG
This is a long non-coding RNA of Gallus gallus (chicken), 384 nucleotides long. NCBI's taxonomy places the organism in Eukaryota, Metazoa, Chordata, Aves, Galliformes, Phasianidae. The record is from Ensembl.